This 508-nucleotide ribosomal RNA is filed under the name uncultured bacterium. RNAcentral describes it as "partial 16S ribosomal RNA". It matches the Rfam family "Bacterial small subunit ribosomal RNA", at positions 28 to 523 of the family's 1533-position model. The record is from RNAcentral.
GAUGAACGCUAGCUACAGGCUUAACACAUGCAAGUCGAGGGGAAACGACAUCGAAAGCUUGCUUUUGAUGGGCGUCGACCGGCGCACGGGUGAGUAACGCGUAUCCAACCUGCCCAUCACUUGGGGAUAACCUUGCGAAAGUAAGACUAAUACUCAAUGACGUCUCUAGAAGACAUCUGAAAGAGAUUAAAGAUUUAUCGGUGAUGGAUGGGGAUGCGUCUGAUUAGCUUGUUGGCGGGGUAACGGCCCACCAAGGCGACGAUCAGUAGGGGUUCUGAGAGGAAGGUCCCCCACAUUGGAACUGAGACACGGUCCAAACUCCUACGGGAGGCAGCAGUGAGGAAUAUUGGUCAAUGGGCGAGAGCCUGAACCAGCCAAGUAGCGUGCAGGAUGACGGCCCUAUGGGUUGUAAACUGCUUUUAUAAGGGAAUAAAGUGAGUCUCGUGAGACUUUUUGCAUGUACCUUAUGAAUAAGGACCGGCUAAUUCCGUGCCAGCCGCCGCAGUAA